AUGCACGCUGGCGGCGUGCCUAAUCCCUGCCAGUCGAGCGCACAGACGAGGAGCUUGCUCCUCUGACGUUAGCGGCGGACGGGUGAGUAACACGUGGAUAACCUACCUAUAAGACUGGGAUAACUUCGGGAAACCGGAGCUAAUACCGGAUAAUAUAUUGAACCGCAUGGUUCAAUAGUGAAAGACGGUUUUGCUGUCACUUAUAGAUGGAUCCGCGCCGCAUUAGCUAGUUGGUAAGGUAACGGCUUACCAAGGCAACGAUGCGUAGCCGACCUGAGAGGGUGAUCGGCCACACUGGAACUGAGACACGGUCCAGACUCCUACGGGAGGCAGCAGUAGGGAAUCUUCCGCAAUGGGCGAAAGCUUGACGGAGCAACGCCGCGUGAGUGAUGAAGGUCUUCGGAUCGUAAAACUCUGUUAUUAGGGAAGAACAAAUGUGUAAGUAACUAUGCACGUCUUGACGGUACCUAAUCAGAAAGCCACGGCUAACUACGUG
RNAcentral lists this ribosomal RNA (496 nucleotides) under uncultured bacterium. RNAcentral's name for it is "partial 16S ribosomal RNA". It matches the Rfam family "Bacterial small subunit ribosomal RNA", at positions 29 to 507 of the family's 1533-position model. The record is from RNAcentral.